CGGGAGUACAUCAGCGGCGAACGGGUGAGUAACACGUGGGUGACUUGCCCCGAAGAUGGGGAUAACCUCUGGAAACGGGGGCUAAUACCCAAUGUGCUCGGUGAUUCGGUUCAUCGAGUAAAGCUCCGGCGCUUCGGGAGAGGCCUGCGGCCCAUCAGCUAGUUGGUAGGGUAACGGCCUACCAAGGCAGAGACGGGUAGGGGGCGUGAGAGCGCGGACCCCCACACUGGCACUGAGAUACGGGCCAGACUCCUACGGGAGGCAGCAGUAAGGGAUAUUGCGCAAUGGACGAAAGUCAGACGCAGCGACGCCGCGUGGGCGAUGAAGGCCUUCGGGUUGUAAAGCCCUUUUAUGGGGGAAGAGAAAAAGGACGGUACCCCAGGAAUAAGUCCCGGCUAACUACGUGCCAGCAGCCGCGGUAAAACGUAGGGGACAAGCGUUAUCCGGAUUCACUGGGCGUAAAGAGCGUUGAGGCGGUUCCGUAAGUUGGGCGUGAAAGCUCCGGGCUUAACUCGGAGAUGUCGUUCAAUACUGCGGGGCUUGAGGACAGCAGAGGAAGGUGGAAUUCCCGGUGUAGUGGUGAAAUGCGUAGAUAUCGGGAGGAACACCCGUGGCGAAGGCGGCCUUCUGGGCUGUUCCUGACGCUGAAGGCGAAAGCUAGGGGAGCGAACGGGAUUAGAUACCCCGGUAGUCCUAGCUGUAAACGAUGGAUGCUGGGUGUGGGGGGUGUAAAUUCCCUCUGUGCCGAAGCAAACGCGUUAAGCAUCCCGCCUGGGGACUACGGCCGCAAGGCUAAAACUCAAACGAAUUGACGGGGGCCCGCACAAGCAGCGGAGCGUGUGGUUUAAUUCGAUGCUACACGAAGAACCUUACAUGGGUUUGACAUGCACGUGGUAGGGAACCGAAGGGGGACCGACACUUCGGGAGCGUGCACAGGUGCUGCAUGGCUGUCGUCAGCUCGUGCCGUGAGGUGUCGGGUUAAGUCCCGUAACGAGCGCAACCANUGCCAUUAGUUACAAGUGUCUAAGGGGACUGCCCGGGACAACUGGGAGGAAGGUGGGGAUGACGUCAAGUCAGCAUGGC
RNAcentral lists this ribosomal RNA (1083 nucleotides) under uncultured organism. RNAcentral's name for it is "bacterial SSU rRNA". It matches the Rfam family "Bacterial small subunit ribosomal RNA", at positions 82 to 1199 of the family's 1533-position model. The record is from RNAcentral.